UGUGGCGGGGCCCGAGCGGCACGACCAUGGGGCGGAAGCUGGACCCCACCAGGAAGGAGAAGCGCGGCCCCGGGCGCAAGGCCCGCAAGCAGCGCGGGGCCGAGGUGGAGCUGGCCCGCUUCCUGCCGCCAGAGCCGGAGACCGGCAGGAAGAAGCUCUCCAGUCACGGCAGAAAGAGGGCUGCGAAGAGGCGGCUGGGAGCGGGCGGAGGCCCGGCGGGGAGGAGGCCGCGAGGAGGAG
Molecule: non-coding RNA, 240 nt
Organism: Pseudopodoces humilis (Tibetan ground-tit)
Lineage: Eukaryota; Metazoa; Chordata; Aves; Passeriformes; Paridae
Source: RefSeq, a predicted model, not a curated record